Molecule: non-coding RNA, 74 nt
Organism: Sebastes umbrosus (honeycomb rockfish)
Lineage: Eukaryota; Metazoa; Chordata; Actinopteri; Perciformes; Sebastidae
Source: the annotation of a RefSeq genome assembly
GUCUCUGUGGCGCAAUUGGUUAGCGUGUUCGGCUAUUAACCAAAAGGUUGGUGGUUCAAGCCCACCCAGGGACG